RNAcentral lists this ribosomal RNA (1254 nucleotides) under Salmonella enterica. Its description in RNAcentral is "partial 23S ribosomal RNA". It matches the Rfam family "Bacterial large subunit ribosomal RNA", at positions 1 to 1185 of the family's 2925-position model. The record is from RNAcentral. Lineage: Bacteria; Pseudomonadati; Pseudomonadota; Gammaproteobacteria; Enterobacterales; Enterobacteriaceae. RNAcentral also lists the same sequence under 1 other name.
GGGUUGUGAGGUUAAGCGACUAAGCGUACACGGUGGAUGCCCUGGCAGUCAGAGGCGAUGAAGGGCGUGCUAAUCUGCGAUAAGCGCCGGUAAGGUGAUAUGAACCGUUAUAACCGGCGAUACCCGAAUGGGGAAACCCAGUGUGAUUCGUCACACUAUCAUUAACUGAAUCCAUAGGUUAAUGAGGCGAACCGGGGGAACUGAAACAUCUAAGUACCCCGAGGAAAAGAAAUCAACCGAGAUUCCCCCAGUAGCGGCGAGCGAACGGGGAGGAGCCCAGAGCCUGAAUCAGCAUGUGUGUUAGUGGAAGCGUCUGGAAAGGCGCGCGAUACAGGGUGACAGCCCCGUACACAAAAGCGCAUAUGCUGUGAGCUCGAUGAGUAGGGCGGGACACGUGGUAUCCUGUCUGAAUAUGGGGGGACCAUCCUCCAAGGCUAAAUACUCCUGACUGACCGAUAGUGAACCAGUACCGUGAGGGAAAGGCGAAAAGAACCCCGGCGAGGGGAGUGAAAAAGAACCUGAAACCGUGUACGUACAAGCAGUGGGAGCCCCACCACUAAGCCAGUGGUGAACUCCACAUACGCAUCCUUUGCUGAGGAGACGGUUAACGGAGCGAAAGCGACGUUCAACCUCAAAAGAAGCAGAGGGGGCUUAGUGGUGGGGUGACUGCGUACCUUUUGUAUAAUGGGUCAGCGACUUAUAUUCUGUAGCAAGGUUAACUGUAUAGGGGAGCCGGAGGGAAACCGAGUCUUAACCGGGCGUUAAGUUGCAGGGUAUAGACCCGAAACCCGGUGAUCUAGCCAUGGGCAGGUUGAAGGUUGGGUAACACUAACUGGAGGACCGAACCGACUAAUGUUGAAAAAUUAGCGGAUGACCUGUGGCUGGGGGUGAAAGGCCAAUCAAACCGGGAGAUAGCUGGUUCUCCCCGAAAGCUAUUUAGGUAGCGCCUCGUGAAUUCAUCUCCGGGGGUAGAGCACUGUUUCGGCUAGGGGGCCAUCCCGGCUUACCAACCCGAUGCAAACUGCGAAUACCGGAGAAUGUUAUCACGGGAGACACACGGCGGGUGCUAAUGUCCGUCGUGAAGAGGGAAACAACCCAGACCGCCAGCUAAGGUCCCAAAGUCAUGGUUAAGUGGGAAACGAUGUGGGAAGGCCCAGACAGCCAGGAUGUUGGCUUAGAAGCAGCCAUCAUUUAAAGAAAGCGUAAUAGCUCACUGGUCGAGUCGGCCUGCGCGGAAGAUGUAACGGGGCUAAA